Molecule: long non-coding RNA, 1056 nt
Organism: Beta vulgaris subsp. vulgaris (sugar beet)
Lineage: Eukaryota; Viridiplantae; Streptophyta; Magnoliopsida; Caryophyllales; Amaranthaceae
Exons: 2
Source: RefSeq, a predicted model, not a curated record
UGUUUGCAGCGGUUUUAUAUGCUAUAUUUCAUAAAUUAACAUGAUUUCAAGCUGUUUCUGUAUGAUAUUAAUGAAUUCAGAAUCAUGGAGCUUACCUGUCCAUGCGGAAAUGGUAUUUUAAUCAAGAAUGUAACAACAAAAGGCCCUAAUGUGACCCGUCCUUAUUACAAAUGCCCCGGUUCACAGAAGGCAAGUUUUAUAUACUUCAAUAUAUUGUUUUUUUCUAUAUAUAUAUUUUAAUGUUAUAUCUUAAUCAAUGUUAUGUGACAGGGAAAUAACAUCCCAGAUUGUAAGUUCUAUUCAUUCGAGGAUGAACUAAAGCAGUGUCCCUGUGGACGUGGCUUUUGCCGCACCGCCUUUAUAAGAAAAGAAAAAUUUUGGUGCUGCUGCGUUCAGGGACUUGGUGAUUGCGGAUUCAUGAUGAGGAUCACAUCAACCUGGCAACUGCCGAGGGAUUGGAACUCGAACCCUCAAUCUUCCUCGGCAGCGUCUCAAUCUUCCUCGGCAGCGUCUCAAUCUCCCUCGGCACAAUUUCAACAAUUUCAGUCUCCCUCGACACAAUUUCAAUAUCCCUCGGCACAGGUUCAAUCUCCCUCGGGACAGUGGCACAGUUUCACUCCUUCUGCUACGUUUCAAUCUUCCUCGGCGCAGUUUCAAUCUCCUUCCAGCCCUUUGAUGCACACUCCCUUGGCUCAGGCUCAGUCCUCUCCUCCCAUUACCCAAGAUAGGUCUCGGUCUCCUCCCAGCCAAGUUGUGCUGCUUACACAAUCUCUCAAAGUAGCUCAAUCAAGUGUUGCUGCCUAUCUUAAUCUUAUUGAAACAUGAACUAAUUUCCACGGACUUAUUAUUCCAGAUGGCAAAUACAGUAGACAGUACAAGCAAUUACAGCAUGGAGCGCCAAUAUAAAACUUCCGGCCGUCUCAUUAACCUGAUUUCUAUUGUAGAAGAAUUGCGUAGUACUUCUGAGGCUUUUCUCAAUCAUUGCUUAGAGUUAGGGGGGUUAUUCAACUUUUUGUCCCUUCCUAAAUCCCCAAUUCAUUCUCCUUUUUUGUUAGA